Molecule: transfer RNA, 76 nt
Filed under: Camelus bactrianus (Bactrian camel)
Lineage: Eukaryota; Metazoa; Chordata; Mammalia; Artiodactyla; Camelidae
Also listed under: 2 other names
Rfam family: tRNA
About the family: Transfer RNA (tRNA) molecules are approximately 80 nucleotides in length. Their secondary structure includes four short double-helical elements and three loops (D, anti-codon, and T loops).
Source: Rfam by way of RNAcentral
GUUGGUAUAGGUCAGUGGAAGAGCACAUGCUUAGUUAGCAUGCACAGCGGCCUGGGUUCAAUCCCUAGUACCGCUA